Molecule: ribosomal RNA, 458 nt
Filed under: uncultured bacterium
Lineage: Bacteria
Description: bacterial SSU rRNA
Rfam family: Bacterial small subunit ribosomal RNA
Source: RNAcentral
UACGGGAGGCAGCAGUGGGGAAUAUUGCACAAUGGGCGAAAGCCUGAUGCAGCUAUGCCGCGUGUAUGAAGAAGGCCUUAGGGUUGUAAAGUACUUUCAUCGGGGAGGAAAAAACAAAACUAAUAAUUUUAUUUCUUGACGUUACCCGAAAAAGAAGCACCGGCUAACUCCGUGCCAGCAGCCGCGGUAAUACGAAGGGUGCUAGCGUUAAUCAGAAUUACUGGGCGUAAAGAGCACGUAGGUGGUUUUUUUAAGUCAGAUGUGAAAUCCCUGGGCUUAACCUGGAACUGCAUUUUGAAACUGAAAUACUAGAGUAUCGUAGAGGGAGGUAGAAUUCUAGGUGUAGCGGUGAAAUGCGUAGAUAUCUGGAGGAAUACCUGUGGCGAAAGCGGCCUCCUAAACGAAUACUGACACUGAGGUGCGAAAGCGUGGGGAGCAAACAGGGAUUAGAUACCCGU